GGACCACUUUUAAAGUACUUAUUGAAUUUGUUACCAUAUUGCUUCUGUUUUAUGUUUUUAGGGCACAAGGCAUAUGGGAUCUUAACUGCCCAGCCAGGGACUGAACCCUCAUCUCUUGCUCUGGAAGACAAAGUCCUAAUCACUGUUCCGCCAGGGAAGUCCCUACUACUUCGUUUGCAUAAAAGCAGAAAUACUAUAGCUUCUUCUGGAAGCCAAGGAGGAGCCGGAAAAUUACCUCCAAUCACGAUUCGGAAGCACAACCUCAGGCCUGAAGGCCAGAUGCGGGAUCUCCAGAGGCCAGCGCUGACCCCAGGAUGGCAGGAAAUAUUCGUACUUCAAUUUUUAUCCUGCCCACAUCAAAACAGCAACAAUGAACACAUUGAAGUUAACUGUCACCAUAUCAGCAUGGAAUCAUUUAUCAUGUUAACGAUUGCCUUGGUCAGUUCACCCUCAUGACUUCCCAAGACAGAAUUGAGCUGGAUGAAUAGCCCCCCAACAUCUGGCAGCCCUUGAUGCUCCAGUUUGGGGGAUCAAUUCACUCUAACUUGAUCAGCAUCGUGGCCAAUACGGCCCCACCCGGUGAGAGAUACUUC
This is a long non-coding RNA of Bos indicus x Bos taurus (hybrid cattle), 593 nucleotides long. Lineage: Eukaryota; Metazoa; Chordata; Mammalia; Artiodactyla; Bovidae. The record is from Ensembl.